This 449-nucleotide ribosomal RNA is filed under the name uncultured bacterium. RNAcentral's name for it is "partial 16S ribosomal RNA". It matches the Rfam family "Bacterial small subunit ribosomal RNA", at positions 29 to 523 of the family's 1533-position model. The record is from RNAcentral.
AGCGAACGCUGGCGGCAGGCCUAACACAUGCAAGUCGAACGAACUCUUCGGAGUUAGUGGCGGACGGGUGGGUAACACGUGGGAACGUGCCUUUAGGUUCGGAAUAACUCAGGGAAACUUGUGCUAAUACCGAAUGUGCCCUUCGGGGGAAAGAUUUAUCGCCUUUAGAGCGGCCCGCGUCUGAUUAGCUAGUUGGUGAGGUAAAGGCUCACCAAGGCGACGAUCAGUAGCUGGUCUGAGAGGAUGAUCAGCCACAUUGGGACUGAGACACGGCCCAAACUCCUACGGGAGGCAGCAGUGGGGGAUCUUGCGCAAUGGGCGAAAGCCUGACGCAGCCAUGCCGCGUGAAUGAUGAAGGUCUUAGGAUUGUAAAAUUCUUUCACCGGGGACGAUAAUGACGGUACCCGGAGAAGAAGCCCCGGCUAACUUCGUGCCAGCAGCCGCAGUAA